Molecule: unclassified non-coding RNA, 273 nt
Filed under: Hevea brasiliensis (rubber tree)
Lineage: Eukaryota; Viridiplantae; Streptophyta; Magnoliopsida; Malpighiales; Euphorbiaceae
Source: RNAcentral
UGAAUAACCACUUUUACCUAGGGGCUGCAACAAAAUGGAAUAUUUCUAUGCAGUUAUUCAGUUGAAGCAAAAAUAAAAGAAAGCAUUAUUCCAGAGAAUAACAAAAAUCUCCCCCAUGAUUUCAAGAAUUACAUGCAAGUCCAAGUAAAAUUUUCCAUUAAUCAAGACUAAUGCGGUGUUUGGAUUCAUGAUUUUGGUUUAUAAAAUUUAGAAUUUCAAUAUUAAAUAUCAAAAUUUAGAAUUAAAAUUCAUAUAAUAAUAAUAAUAAUAAUA